Dermochelys coriacea (leatherback sea turtle) is the source of this 1265-nucleotide long non-coding RNA. RefSeq lists it as uncharacterized. The transcript is spliced from 3 exons. NCBI's taxonomy places the organism in Eukaryota, Metazoa, Chordata, Testudines, Dermochelyidae. The record is from RefSeq and is a predicted model, not a curated record.
CCACCACCCCCACUGGCUGUAUACCAUCUGCCUCGGCUCCUGCCUCUGGACUCAGCUGCUUGCUUGGCCUGCCGUGCCCUGAUUCCACCCGAGGGCCAGAAGCAGUAACCAGCCCAAAUUGACUUUGUCCAAGCGCACACCCCUCAACCUCUACUGGCUGCAGGACCUCUACAGCUCGCCUACACUGUAGUACAAGCCUGGGCCAAUACUUCAUGGACCAUUCCAAGAGGAAGCAUUUCUGUGGUGAAGUUAUGGUUGAAGUUCUGGAGAGGGCCAACCAGGUGGUGGUACCUGUCUUACUCCAUCAUAAGCUGGGAUGUGCCUUUGGUGGGUCAGAAAAUGCUGCCGAAACAUCUACUAGCAUCUCAUGGAAGCUCCGUCCAUUUCCUGCCACAAGUGAAAGUGCAAGCAAGAGAAACUCUUCAAAAAGUGCCUCCUACAUGUUGCUGUGCCAGUAGCUGGGAGCACACUGAUCAAAAUGACAGCUCAAUAGAGUGCAUUGACAGGCUGUUCAAACUUCCUGUAAUGUGCUGGGUGGACAGGCAAGUUGUCCCACCGUGCAGCAUAGUGAAAAAGCUAGAGUGGGCACAUUUUGCUUGGGCUCUAGGGAAUCUGGAAUAUGGUUGGUCUGACUCAGGUCUGCAUGCUGCAGUGUGGAUGCAAGAGCCCCAGGCUUGAGUCCAGGUUAGAAAAUUCUUAACCUAGGGCUAACACUCAGUGUCGACACUCAAUCCCUAGGUUCUCAAACCCAGGGUCAGCUGACUCAAGUCCCACUAUGCUUGGGCUUACAUUGCAGUAUAGAUGUUCCCAGUGUUGCAGCUGCUAGCUGAGAUCCACUAGCUUGGACAGAAUUAGAUGUGGCAGCCCCCUUGGACCUUACAUCUCAGCAGCUGCAAUCAUCUCACAGUGGGAUGUUUUGAGCCUCACUGUGUGGUGCCCUUACUGAAUCCUCAGCCAUACUCCAGUUCCAUCCACUAGUGAUAUAUUUUAUAUUUUGCUUUCCCUAUAUCCCCUUGCAGUCCAUGUUCAGAACUGCUACGCAGAGCUGCUGAGAGCAGUUGAAUACCUGAACUGUUCCACCCCAGUGGCUGGUAAAAUUUAUAUAAUCCUGUGUGUAUAUAACAGUUAAAGUUUUUAAAGCACUUUGGGAGUCUUGAGCAUGGAAGACACUAUAGAAAUGUAAGAUAUUACUGUAAAACAUUUAUUUAAGACAUUAAAAGCCUACUACAUGCCUUUGUUAUAUUAUUAAAGGUCAUUUGAAAUAA